UUUCAGACACAGCCAACCCAGGAGCUUAGACCAGAGGCAGCUGCUGCAGGCAUGGGCCUGGCAGCAGGAAGGCCAGUGGGCGGGCAGACAGGCAGCAAGAGAACACUCGAGAAUUAACCUGCGCAGGGCCGGGUCUCCUCAGAGGAUCACGGACAUCCCUACUCCCGCCUUUUGACGACAGAGACAUGGCUCGGGAGCCCAAGCCUGGUCCUGCCCGGCCGGGCCAGAAGAGGCCCUGGGGCACGGCCAUCUCCUGCUACUACGAUCUGGAUUACGAGCUGUACAGGGAAGAAUUCCCCUACAGGGUGUGUGACUACCAAAGGAUCCCUCCACUAAUCAACCGUGCACCUACCAAGAUCCGGGGGACCCACGUGGGCCCGGGGGUCAAGCACAGCUUUAGUCCCCACAAGGCUCCCAGGACUAGUCAACUGCCUGCAGGGCAGAUAAAGCUCCAGACUGAGGAGCUGCACUCCAUCAGAGGAGAGCUGAGCCAGAUCAAAGCCCAGGUGGAUCACCUGCUGGAGACUGUGGACCGCAUGGACCAGCAGAUGGACCAGCUUCCAGGGACGGAGGACUGCGAACAGAACCGGAGCUCCAGGAGUAAGGGUCCCUCAUACAGAACCGUAGAACCUCAUCAGGAGCCUACAGGCCAGAGGACCCAUCCAGAGGCAGACAGCUCCCCGAUCACAGACCCAGAAGACCCCAAGGAGGCAGUAAAGAAUCACGCAUCAGACCAGGAGGGCAGCCAGUAGAAGGCUGGAACUCCCCCAGUCUCAUCAGCUCCAGGCACUUUCUUCGGCGGUUCCUAUCCCCUGCCUUGAGUAGCACCCACGCUGGAGCAAGCGCAAAGAAGUGGAGGCAUGGCUCAGCCAGUCCAGCUGGGAAGCCUCCCCCCAGUGCUGACUUUAGCUUGAGGAUCAUGUUUCCAGAUGACCAUCUGGGGGCUAGCGGGGAAGGAAGGAGCCCUCCAAGUGCCCAGCACCAGCUCACCAUUCUCAUAAAGUUGAGGCCACUCCUGUUAAGAGGCAGCUGGAAAGGGCCCCCCUGGGAGCACCACCAGCCCUCUGACUACAGGUACCUCCCUAGCUGCUUCUCCCCGCCCCUCGCCAAAGCCUUACCUGUCCUCUCUGGGUCUCAGCAGGAGUAUCACUUUUAUGUUGUUUCUACCUUGUCUCUUGCUGGUGUGAUCUUACAUAUUUCAGAUCUGCUUUGGAAAAAUAUGUCACUGAGGAGAAAUAAAAUUUUCUUUUCCCUGG
RNAcentral lists this long non-coding RNA (1256 nucleotides) under Sus scrofa (pig). Its description in RNAcentral is "lncRNA (ENSSSCG00055000340.1)". Lineage: Eukaryota; Metazoa; Chordata; Mammalia; Artiodactyla; Suidae. The record is from RNAcentral.